RNAcentral lists this ribosomal RNA (497 nucleotides) under uncultured bacterium. RNAcentral describes it as "partial 16S ribosomal RNA". It matches the Rfam family "Bacterial small subunit ribosomal RNA", at positions 28 to 507 of the family's 1533-position model. The record is from RNAcentral.
GAUGAACGCUGGCGGCGUGCCUAAUACAUGCAAGUCGAGCGAACAGACGAGGAGCUGGCUCUCCUGACUUUACCGCGGGCCGGGUGGUAAAACCGUGGUUAACUUCCUUUUAGGAUGGGGAAAACUCCGGAAAACCGGAGCUAAAACCGGAUAUUAUAUUAAACGGCUGGGUCAAAUAGGGAAGGACGGUUUUGCGGUCACUAUUGGAGGGAUCCGCGCCCCAUUAGCUAGUUGGUAAGGUAACGGCUUACCAAGGCAACGAUGCGUAGCCGACCUGAGAGGGUGAUCGGCCACACUGGAACUGAGACACGGUCCAGACUCCUACGGGAGGCAGCAGUAGGGAAUCUUCCGCAAUGGGCGAAAGCCUGACGGAGCAACGCCGCGUGAGUGAUGAAGGUCUUCGGAUCGUAAAACUCUGUUAUUAGGGAAGAACAAAUGUGUAAGUAACUAUGCACGUCUUGACGGUACCUAAUCAGAAAGCCACGGCUAACUACGUG